Molecule: ribosomal RNA, 378 nt
Filed under: Fridericia magna
Lineage: Eukaryota; Metazoa; Annelida; Clitellata; Enchytraeida; Enchytraeidae
Description: partial 12S ribosomal RNA
Source: RNAcentral
CAAGACUUAAAAAUAUACCGAAUAAUAAAAUCAACCGAUUAAAAUUUAAAGAAUAUGGCGGUGUUUUUAUAUAAUCAGGGGAACCUGUUUCUUAAUUCGAUAAUCCACGUAAAUUCAACCUCUUUUAGAUAUUCAGUUUGUGUACUGCUGUCACCAGUAAACCUAUAAAAGCAAGUUUACAAUAAAUACUAACUAUUUUACGUCAAGUCAAAGUGCAACUAAUAAAGAGGAGACAAUGGGUUACAACCUUAAUAAAGAUUUACAAAUAAGCAAAACAAAAAUGCUUUGAAGGUGGACUUGAAAGUAAUAUUCAUAACAAACUACAUAUAAAAAUUUCUAAAACAUGUACACAUCGCCCGUCACUCUCAUCUAAAGACG